GACGAACGCUGGCGGCGUGCCUAAUACAUGCAAGUCGAACGCUUCUUUCCUCCCGAGUGCUUGCACUCAAUUGGAAAGAGGAGUGGCGGACGGGUGAGUAACACGUGGGUAACCUACCCAUCAGAGGGGGAUAACACUUGGAAACAGGUGCUAAUACCGCAUAACAGUUUAUGCCGCAUGGCAUAAGAGUGAAAGGCGCUUUCGGGUGUCGUUGAUGGAUGGACCCGCGGUGCAUUAGCUAGUGGGUGAGGUAACGGCUCACCAAGGCCACGAUGCCUAGCCGGCCUGAGAGGGUGAUCGGCCACACUGUGACUGAGACACGUCCCAGACUCCUACGGGAGGCAGCAGUAGGGAAUCUUCGGCAAUGGACGAAAGUCUGACCGAGCAACGCCGCGUGAGUGAAGAAGGUUUUCGGAUCGUAAAACUCUGUUGUUAGAGAAGAACAAGGGCGUUAGUAACUGAACGUCCCCUGACGGUAUCUAACCAGAAAGCCACGGCUAACUACGUG
RNAcentral lists this ribosomal RNA (508 nucleotides) under uncultured bacterium. Its description in RNAcentral is "partial 16S ribosomal RNA". It matches the Rfam family "Bacterial small subunit ribosomal RNA", at positions 28 to 507 of the family's 1533-position model. The record is from RNAcentral.